Molecule: ribosomal RNA, 2217 nt
Filed under: Escherichia coli
Lineage: Bacteria; Pseudomonadati; Pseudomonadota; Gammaproteobacteria; Enterobacterales; Enterobacteriaceae
Description: bacterial LSU rRNA
Rfam family: Bacterial large subunit ribosomal RNA
Source: RNAcentral
CUCCAAGGCUAAAUACUCCUGACUGACCGAUAGUGAACCAGUACCGUGAGGGAAAGGCGAAAAGAACCCCGGCGAGGGGAGUGAAAAAGAACCUGAAACCGUGUACGUACAAGCAGUGGGAGCCUCUUUUAUGGGGUGACUGCGUACCUUUUGUAUAAUGGGUCAGCGACUUAUAUUCUGUAGCAAGGUUAACCGAAUAGGGGAGCCGAAGGGAAACCGAGUCUUAACUGGGCGUUAAGUUGCAGGGUAUAGACCCGAAACCCGGUGAUCUAGCCAUGGGCAGGUUGAAGGUUGGGUAACACUAACUGGAGGACCGAACCGACUAAUGUUGAAAAAUUAGCGGAUGACUUGUGGCUGGGGGUGAAAGGCCAAUCAAACCGGGAGAUAGCUGGUUCUCCCCGAAAGCUAUUUAGGUAGCGCCUCGUGAAUUCAUCUCCGGGGGUAGAGCACUGUUUCGGCAAGGGGGUCAUCCCGACUUACCAACCCGAUGCAAACUGCGAAUACCGGAGAAUGUUAUCACGGGAGACACACGGCGGGUGCUAACGUCCGUCGUGAAGAGGGAAACAACCCAGACCGCCAGCUAAGGUCCCAAAGUCAUGGUUAAGUGGGAAACGAUGUGGGAAGGCCCAGACAGCCAGGAUGUUGGCUUAGAAGCAGCCAUCAUUUAAAGAAAGCGUAAUAGCUCACUGGUCGAGUCGGCCUGCGCGGAAGAUGUAACGGGGCUAAACCAUGCACCGAAGCUGCGGCAGCGACACUAUGUGUUGUUGGGUAGGGGAGCGUUCUGUAAGCCUGUGAAGGUGUACUGUGAGGUAUGCUGGAGGUAUCAGAAGUGCGAAUGCUGACAUAAGUAACGAUAAAGCGGGUGAAAAGCCCGCUCGCCGGAAGACCAAGGGUUCCUGUCCAACGUUAAUCGGGGCAGGGUGAGUCGACCCCUAAGGCGAGGCCGAAAGGCGUAGUCGAUGGGAAACAGGUUAAUAUUCCUGUACUUGGUGUUACUGCGAAGGGGGGACGGAGAAGGCUAUGUUGGCCGGGCGACGGUUGUCCCGGUUUAAGCGUGUAGGCUGGUUUUCCAGGCAAAUCCGGAAAAUCAAGGCUGAGGCGUGAUGACGAGGCACUACGGUGCUGAAGCAACAAAUGCCCUGCUUCCAGGAAAAGCCUCUAAGCAUCAGGUAACAUCAAAUCGUACCCCAAACCGACACAGGUGGUCAGGUAGAGAAUACCAAGGCGCUUGAGAGAACUCGGGUGAAGGAACUAGGCAAAAUGGUGCCGUAACUUCGGGAGAAGGCACGCUGAUAUGUAGGUGAAGUCCCUCGCGGAUGGAGCUGAAAUCAGUCGAAGAUACCAGCUGGCUGCAACUGUUUAUUAAAAACACAGCACUGUGCAAACACGAAAGUGGACGUAUACGGUGUGACGCCUGCCCGGUGCCGGAAGGUUAAUUGAUGGGGUCAGCGCAAGCGAAGCUCUUGAUCGAAGCCCCGGUAAACGGCGGCCGUAACUAUAACGGUCCUAAGGUAGCGAAAUUCCUUGUCGGGUAAGUUCCGACCUGCACGAAUGGCGUAAUGAUGGCCAGGCUGUCUCCACCCGAGACUCAGUGAAAUUGAACUCGCUGUGAAGAUGCAGUGUACCCGCGGCAAGACGGAAAGACCCCGUGAACCUUUACUAUAGCUUGACACUGAACAUUGAGCCUUGAUGUGUAGGAUAGGUGGGAGGCUUUGAAGUGUGGACGCCAGUCUGCAUGGAGCCGACCUUGAAAUACCACCCUUUAAUGUUUGAUGUUCUAACGUGGACCCGUGAUCCGGGUUGCGGACAGUGUCUGGUGGGUAGUUUGACUGGGGCGGUCUCCUCCUAAAGAGUAACGGAGGAGCACGAAGGUUGGCUAAUCCUGGUCGGACAUCAGGAGGUUAGUGCAAUGGCAUAAGCCAGCUUGACUGCGAGCGUGACGGCGCGAGCAGGUGCGAAAGCAGGUCAUAGUGAUCCGGUGGUUCUGAAUGGAAGGGCCAUCGCUCAACGGAUAAAAGGUACUCCGGGGAUAACAGGCUGAUACCGCCCAAGAGUUCAUAUCGACGGCGGUGUUUGGCACCUCGAUGUCGGCUCAUCACAUCCUGGGGCUGAAGUAGGUCCCAAGGGUAUGGCUGUUCGCCAUUUAAAGUGGUACGCGAGCUGGGUUUAGAACGUCGUGAGACAGUUCGGUCCCUAUCUGCCGUGGGCGCUGGAGAA